AUGCCGGCCAGCCCUGAGCAGCAGUUGAAGGAGAUCACCAAGGUCGACCUCCGAGGGCUGGAGCCUGGCCGGCCAGGGUGGGACGAAGCCCGGGACGCGGUGACCACGUCCAUGGUGGCGCACGGCUGCGCCAUGGUCCAUGUCCAGCACGUCGGGCUGGACGAGGACAUCCGGCAGGCGCUGUUCGGCCGCGCCAUGCCGGAGCUGUUCGCGCUCCCCGCGGAGGCCAAGCAGCGCAACGUCAACAGCGACGUGCAGUACAGAGGGUACAUCGGGCAGAUACCCGGCAUGGCGUACGAGAGCAUGCGCAUCAAGGACAUCACCGACGCCGUCCACAUCAGCGACUUCGCCGGUCUGCUCUGGCCGCAGGGCAACCCCGCCUUCUGUGACACGGUCGGGGAGUUCGCCAAGAAUGCUGUCAGCCUGGAGAAGACGGUGACGAGGAUGGUCUUGGAAGGCCUGGGCGUCCGGGACGAGCACGCCCUCGACUCGCACCGCGACCAGCUCUGCUACAGCUUCCGGAUGUCCUACUACGGCAUCUGCCCGGAGGAGAACACGGCCAAGGUGAGCCUGCCGGAGCACCGUGAGUACAACAUGACCACCACGAUCGUGCAGCACGAGGUGGAGGGCCUGGAGGUGCAGCUCAAGGACGGCAGCUGGUUCGCCGUGCCCCCCGAGCCGGACACGGUCGUCAUCGUCGCCGGCUAG
This 708-nucleotide ribosomal RNA is filed under the name Triticum aestivum (bread wheat). Its description in RNAcentral is "partial small subunit ribosomal RNA". The record is from RNAcentral. Lineage: Eukaryota; Viridiplantae; Streptophyta; Magnoliopsida; Poales; Poaceae.